Xenopus laevis (African clawed frog) is the source of this 447-nucleotide long non-coding RNA. RefSeq lists it as uncharacterized. Lineage: Eukaryota; Metazoa; Chordata; Amphibia; Anura; Pipidae. The record is from RefSeq and is a predicted model, not a curated record. The transcript is spliced from 2 exons.
ACAACGUGUAAGGCGUCAUGCCAUAUGGACGAAUCGAACCCACGCUUGUUACGCUGCCACACCUCCAUUACGUCACCUCCGCUAUGCAUGGUACUGUAAGCCACGCCUUCUUCUGCCUCCCGCCGUCUCUCCUCCUCCUAUAUGGGACCGCGCCUAGUCUGCUGUACAGCGAAGGGGCGGCACCAGAGAGACGGCGGAUAUCAUCCUCCUGCUCACCAGAAGAGCACGGGUGGUAGAGGAUGGCAUCCGGGCGUACCAGCUCUUACUCCUCUCCAUCCUCCAGUUUUAACGCUGGCUAUAGGCAAAAUUAAAGCGGGGCUACGGCCAGUGAGGACGGGCAGAACCUCUGGUCCUCCAUUCUGAGUGAAGUCUCAACACGGUCACGCUCUAAGCUACCGUUUGGCAAAAAUGUGCUGCUACUCGGUAAAUAAAGGAUAUUUCUGUUUA